This 403-nucleotide long non-coding RNA is filed under the name Homo sapiens (human). RNAcentral describes it as "non-protein coding lnc-MAP10-1:2". Lineage: Eukaryota; Metazoa; Chordata; Mammalia; Primates; Hominidae. The record is from RNAcentral.
CUGGAGCUAGAAGGGGGCAGGGAAAUGGGACGAUGACCAGAUGUGGCCCAUGGCAAGGCCGUGCAUUGUGAAGGGAGGAGGAGGGUCUGAGAUCCGGGAGCCCUGCAGAGAGUUUGCUGAAGAGUGAAGAAAGGACGGCGUUAGUAAUGGGAUGAGGGAUACUGGAGUCCGAAUUAACAUAGCACACAGAGAGAUAUUCAGGAAAAUACAUCAUAUCUUGCACUUGGGUGGAAAAGAGCAGAAAUCCUUGGUUAACAGGAUUAUACGCAAUGGUGCAGAAAGCAUUCUCUAAAGAAAAAUCAGAGAGGAAGAAACACUGCAUGGAGAAUCCAAGAAACACUCUAAGAAUUGAAGUUAAAAUGUCGGAGGUAAGAAAGUGACAAUCCUUGGAGGAAUAUUUUUG